CUCUGCUGGGGGAGCCGUGGGGGGGGGGCUGAACAGGGUCAGUAGCAAUGCUCUGUCCCCUCAGCUGUGAGCUCAGGUAGUGUACCCAGUGUGACCCAGCCCUGUGCACUGGGAGGCGAUGGGGCGGAGCAGGAAGACCUCCGCCUGUAAGCACUACACUCCUCUCAAGACAGGGGGCCGUGGCAGUUGCGUCUCGGGUGCUGCAUGUCCCUCUGCUUCUUGAGGCUGCUGACAGCCUUGGCUGCAUGUGACCACAGUGGCGAGUCCCAGCAGUUUCUUCAGCCCAACCCCCAUACUUGCAGUAUGAGUCACCUUCAAUUUCCUGCCUGCCUCUUCCCUGACUGACCUGAUAAAUCCGGACAGCUUUUAUUGCUUUUGGCAAAACACUGCCAUUAAGAUUUACGGAGCCAAAAGCUGUAGAAGGUAAUCUUCAGAGUAAUUUACACAGUGGGUUUCAAAAGAUGAAAAGUUAGCAUUUCAGAGGUAAUUUCAUAAAAAGGAUUAUCAGAUUAAUCACUGUGUCGAUUUAAUAGUGGUGUCUAAAAUAAUUAAUUAGCCUGCUUGAAGUCAGCAAUGCAAGAAGGAACCCAGAAGGAAUACAAAUGGCCAUGUCAGAUAGCGACAGCUGAUCUGCAAUGUGUUGAAUUGCCUUGUGACACCUGGAAAAUGUGUUCAACCAAGCCACAUCGGAGUGCUGACACGUCGCCGUGGUGGACGGUCCAGGUGUGACUUUCAGCUCAGUUGAGAAGUUACCUGUGAGUGUUCCAAGAUGGAAAGGAAUCAGUACCAGCUGGGCUAAGUCAUAAACUCCUCACGGUGCCCGCGCCGGCACAGCUCUGA
Long non-coding RNA from Mesocricetus auratus (golden hamster), 840 nucleotides. RefSeq lists it as uncharacterized. The record is from RefSeq and is a predicted model, not a curated record. NCBI's taxonomy places the organism in Eukaryota, Metazoa, Chordata, Mammalia, Rodentia, Cricetidae. The transcript has 2 exons.